Molecule: ribosomal RNA, 492 nt
Filed under: uncultured bacterium
Lineage: Bacteria
Description: bacterial SSU rRNA
Rfam family: Bacterial small subunit ribosomal RNA
Source: RNAcentral
UUUACUGCUUCACGCUAUAUCAAGUGCCAACACAUACAGGAACUGAGUACUGAAUGUUGAAUGCCGGAUAGCGGCGGACGGGUGAGUAACGCGUGGGCAACCUGCCUCAUACUGGGGGAUAACACAGGGAAACUUGUGCUAAUACCGCAUAAUAUCAUUAUAGGGCAUCCUGUGAUGAUCAAAGGAGCAAUCCGGUGUGAGAUGGGCCCGCGUCCAAUUAGCUAGUUGGUGGGGUAACGGCCCACCAAGGCGACGAUUGGUAGCCGAACUGAGAGGUUGAUCGGCCACAUUGGGACUGAGACACGGCCCAGACUCCUACGGGAGGCAGCAGUGGGGAAUAUUGCGCAAUGGGGGAAACCCUGACGCAGCAACGCCGCGUGAGUGAGGAAGGUUUUCGGACUGUAAAGCUCUGUCGAGCGGGAAGAAGUGUACCAUGGCUAAUAUCCAUGAUAUUUGACGGUACCGCUAGAGGAAGCACCGGCUAACUCCGUG